UGGCCCCGUAGCUCAGUGGAUGAGAGCGUUUGCCUCCGGAGCAAAAGGUCGUGGGUUCGAACCCCACCGGGGUCACCAU
This 79-nucleotide transfer RNA is filed under the name Lancefieldella rimae ATCC 49626. Its description in RNAcentral is "Atopobium rimae ATCC 49626 tRNA-Arg". It matches the Rfam family "tRNA". Rfam says of the family: Transfer RNA (tRNA) molecules are approximately 80 nucleotides in length. Their secondary structure includes four short double-helical elements and three loops (D, anti-codon, and T loops). Lineage: Bacteria; Bacillati; Actinomycetota; Coriobacteriia; Coriobacteriales; Atopobiaceae. The record is from RNAcentral.